This 1019-nucleotide ribosomal RNA is filed under the name uncultured bacterium. RNAcentral describes it as "bacterial SSU rRNA". It matches the Rfam family "Bacterial small subunit ribosomal RNA", at positions 356 to 1376 of the family's 1533-position model. The record is from RNAcentral.
AGGGAAUUUUCGGCAAUGGGGGGGAACCCUGACCGAGCAACGCCGCGUGAAGGAAGAAGGAAUUCGUUCUGUAAACUUCUGUUAUAAAGGAAGAACGGCGGAUAUAGGGAAUGAUAUCCGAGUGACGGUACUUUAUGAGAAAGCCACGGCUAACUACGUGCCAGCAGCCGCGGUAAUACGUAGGUGGCGAGCGUUAUCCGGAAUUAUUGGGCGUAAAGAGGGAGCAGGCGGCGGCAGAGGUCUGUGGUGAAAGACUGAAGCUUAACUUCAGUAAGCCAUAGAAACCGGGCUGCUAGAGUGCAGGAGAGGAUCGUGGAAUUCCAUGUGUAGCGGUGAAAUGCGUAGAUAUAUGGAGGAACACCAGUGGCGAAGGCGACGGUCUGGCCUGUAACUGACGCUCAUUCCCGAAAGCGUGGGGAGCAAAUAGGAUUAGAUACCCUAGUAGUCCACGCCGUAAACGAUGAGUACUAAGUGUUGGGAGUCAAAUUUCAGUGCUGCAGUUAACGCAAUAAGUACUCCGCCUGAGUAGUACGUUCGCAAGAAUGAAACUCAAAGGAAUUGACGGGGGCCCGCACAAGCGGUGGAGCAUGUGGUUUAAUUCGAAGCAACGCGAAGAACCUUACCAGGUCUUGACAUCCGGAUAAAGACCUCAGAGAUGAGGGGAUAGAUAUAUCCGAGACAGGUGGUGCAUGGUUGUCGUCAGCUCGUGUCGUGAGAUGUUGGGUUAAGUCCCGCAACGAGCGCAACCCUUGUCGCUAGUUACCAUCAUUAAGUUGGGGACUCUAGCGAGACUGCCAGUGACAAGCUGGAGGAAGGCGGGGAUGACGUCAAAUCAUCAUGCCCCUUAUGACCUGGGCUACACACGUGCUACAAUGGAUGGAGCAGAGGGAAGCGAAGCCGCGAGGUGAAGCAAAACCCAUAAAACCAUUCUCAGUUCGGAUUGUAGUCUGCAACUCGACUACAUGAAGUUGGAAUCGCUAGUAAUCGCGAAUCAGCAUGUCGCGGUGAAUACGUUCUCG